Molecule: ribosomal RNA, 254 nt
Filed under: uncultured bacterium
Lineage: Bacteria
Description: partial 16S ribosomal RNA
Rfam family: Bacterial small subunit ribosomal RNA
Source: RNAcentral
UACGUAGGACCCAAGCGUUAUCCGGAAUUACUGGGCGUAAAGAGUUGCGUAGGUGGCAUAGUAAGUUAACAUUGAAAUCGUGUGGCUCAACCAUAUAUACAUUGUUAAAACUGCUAAGCUUGAGCAUGAGAGAGGUAGCUGGAAUUUCUAGUGUAGGAGUGAAAUCCGUAGAUAUUAGAAGGAACACCGAUGGCGUAGGCAGGCUACUGGUUCAUUGCUGACACUCAGGCACGAAAGCGUGGGGAGCGAACGGG